This is a long non-coding RNA of Clupea harengus (Atlantic herring), 3740 nucleotides long. Lineage: Eukaryota; Metazoa; Chordata; Actinopteri; Clupeiformes; Clupeidae. The record is from Ensembl.
UAAAAUUGAAUUUGUACACGUUGUGCUGUUGCUUCUCCACACGUCCACGCCUGUCCAGAGGUUCACUUAGCGUGACCGGGACUCCUCCUUUGAGCCAAUGACCUGUAGGACAUUUACACAUUUUUUGCAAGUUAUUCACCAAUUUCCCAAGUGUUGCAUUGCUUAUUGCACAUUUGCACUCAGGCUUCAGGUUACCAUGAAUCCACACAGGUGCGAAUAAGGAUGACAACACAGGAGAAAAGUUGACACACAAGACACAGCCUCCCCAUCAACUUGGCCACAGCAAUUUCCCCGCUUACAAACACUGAGUUGUCCCAUCUAAAUCUUCUGCCAUAUAUUGUGUGUGAAACAAUCAAAUUCUGGUUUGACUACUGCCCGCUGGUGCAAAAUCAUUAAAAUGGAGGUUACCUGGGAUAUGCAGUUCAGUUGGUCUGUAGAGUUUAAAUCAGAAUGAAUGGGACCUUUGUAAUUGUGGUGGCAUACCUGGCCUUUCACAUUCCAGAAGUAUAUUCAAUGCACAUCCCAGAGUUGUGGAAACUAGGACUUAACCCUUUACAGAUAGUAACUAUCCAUUUGACUGGGCCAUGUUAAGACUUCUUGUAUCGAGUCAGUGGGACAAAGCACAUGCAUAAGCUCCCUACUUAAAGCUAUUAUAUCAAUGCAGUGCUUAAGUACAAGGGCUAAAUAAGGUUUUGAAACACAUUAAUCCUCUUCACAGGACAGACUGCCUCCAAGAUGAGCAAUACUUCCUGGACACACUGAAGGCUUGAAUAUAACAAAUAAUUUCACACGACACCAAAUUUAGUACAUUGUUUUUUAUUUUGUGAAGUGCAAUAAAAUGUUGUACACGUUGUGCUGUUGCUUCUCCACACGUUCACUUAGAGUGACCAGGUCUCCUCCCUUUGAGCCAAUGACCUGUAGGACAUUUACAAAUUAGUUGCAAGUUAUUUACCGAUUUCCUCCAAGUGUUGCAUUGCUUAUUGCAUGUUUGCACACAGGCUUCAGGUUACCAUUAAUCCACACAAUGGUUCAGACAGGGAUAACAAUCUUCAUCAUAAGCUUGUGACACCAACUACCAAAUUUGUGUACGGCCAUAUUAAGAUUAACAGGAUCUUACCUUACGGUGGCCAUCAAGUGUUCCCUGGCUUAUUGGUUUCACCUGAGAAGAAAAGAUCAAUUUAGAAUUGUAUUCAAAUGGCCUUGCCAUUAUUUCCCUAAUGUGGUGAAGUAGUUCAAAUAACGGUUUACCACUCUUUAAUUUUAAAGUUAAAGCAGUUUCACGUCAAUUAAAUUUAGGAACAUUUGUGAUGUGCAUGGAUCAAUAUGGACAAUUCACACGAAUCCCAGAUUACAAUGCUGCAGUAGUGCUCUGUUGAGACUGCUACAUCUAAGUAAACUGAUCACAUACAUGAGAGCUGGUUAUUUGACCACCUUUCAGGAGAUAAUGAGGAUGACUGAACACAGGAGAGAAGUUGAGAAGACGAGGCAGAGCCUUCCCAUCAACUUGGCCACAGCACCUCUUUACACAGGUACUCCCCCCUCCCUGCUUUAACAAACACUGAGUUGUGCCAUCCUUUUACCUCCAUUUAAAUCUUCUAUGCCAUAUGUUCCAUGUUAAAUUAUCAAUUCUGGUUUGACUACAACUGCAGAUUUUGCACCAGUGGGCAGUCGUCACACAAGCCUCAGGUUACCAUUAAUCCACACAGUGGUUCAGACAGGGAUAACAAUCUUCAUCAUAAGCUUGUGACACGUAACUACCAAACUCUUGUACACCAUAUUAAGAUUUACAGGAUCUUACCUUAGGGUGGCCAUCCAUCAAGUUAUUCAUGACUUAUUGGUUUUCCCUGAGGUAAGAAAAAAAAGCUCCAUUUAGAAGUGUAUUCUAAUAGCCUUUCCAUUAUUUCCCUAAUGUGGUUAAAAAGUUCUCAGAACCGGUUACAAUCGUCAGUUAUCGCAUCGGACGGCUUUUCCUAUGUAACGAAUUCAUCAGAGAAGUUUGCAUUUUACUUGCAGUUCACGAGGUUACCAUUAAUCCACAGUGGUUCAGACCAGGAUAACAAGCUUCAUCAUAAGCUUGUGACACUUAACUACCAAAUUAUUGUACCAUAUUUUAAGAUUAACAGGAUUUUACCUUAGGGUGGCCAUCAAGUGUUCUAUGGCCUAUUGGUUUCACCUGAGAAGAAAAGAUCAAUUUAGAAUUGUAAUCAAACAGCCUUGCCAUCAUUGCAUGUAAUGUGGUUAAGUAGUUCAAAUAACAGUUUACCACACGUUAAUUUUAAAGUUUGAGCAGUUUCACGUCAAUGAAAUUUAGGAACAUUUGUGAUGUGCAUGGAUCAAUAUGGACAAUUCACACGAAUCCCAGAUUACAAAGCUGCAGUAGUGCUCUGUUGAGACUGCUACAUCCAAGUAAACUGAUCACAUACAUGAGCUGGUUAUUUGACCACCUUUCAGGAGAUAAGGAGGAUGACUGAACACAGGAGAGAAGUUAAGACGAGGCAGAGCCUUCCCAUCAACUUGGCCACAGCACCUCUUUACACAGGUACUCCCCCUCCCUGCUUUCACAAACUGUGCCAUCCACUUACCCCCAUUUAAAUCUUUUAUGCCAUAUGUUCUAUGUUAAAUUAGCAAUUCUGAUUUGACUGACUGCAGAUUUUGCACCAGUGGGCAGUAGUCGCACAAGCCUCAGGUUACCAUUAAUCCACACAGUGGUUCAGACAGGGAUAACAAUCUUCAUCAUAAGCUUGUGACACGUAACUACCAAACUCUUGUACACCAUGUUAAGAUUUACAGGAUCUUACCUUAGGGUGGGCCAUCCAUCAAGUUAUUCAUGACUUAUUGGUUUUCCCUGAAAAAAAAAAAGAAAAAAGCGCCAUUUAGAAGUGUAUUCAAAUAGCCUUUCCAUUAUUUCCCUAAUGUGGUUAGAAAGUUCUCAGAACUGUUUACAAUCGUCAGUUAUCGCAUCGGACGGCUUUUCCUAUGUAAAGAUUUCAUCAGAGAAACCACAGAAAAGGGGUUUGCAUUUUACUUGCAUUUCUCGAGAAAUACUCACUUAAUGCAUGGCGGAGUGAAGCCGCAAAUAGUCUGCUUCACUUUCCCCAGUCAAAACGACUAAGGAUCAGACGUUCGGCCUGGACUUCCACAACGAGGCUUCCAUUCGCAAAUUGGUGUCACCACAUGCCAUGCCUCAACAAAUUAAGGCAGGCGCCAAGUCUCCUAUAAAAAAAGAAUGCAAUAAUUAAUACAACAGAAAUAUUAAUAUUUUAAAACAUUGGUCAUAGCACAUGUAGCUAACGGGAUUUAGUUGGCCUGCAACUGAAUGGUGACCGGCCAAGCACAACCACGUGUUUCAUGAGAUCAUGCUAGCUAACGUUAGCAGUUAGUCUUUAAGCACAUAUAACGUUAAGGAAAUUAAGGUCAGAAAAUUAACUGAACUGCUUCCAUCGGCAAUAAUCAUGCACAGAACACUUAAUAAGUAUUGUUCACAAAGCCAGUAAACCAUCAAGGGCUUGCUAAAAUAUUGGCUAACGCUUGCUAAUGUGUCCAUUUAACGUUAGUGUAGGAUCAAAACAUAGAGCAAAACAACUCAUUUUUGCAAGAAAUCAUAAACUUACCUUUAAGGUGGUUCCGAAGCACUGAUCGUCGAAAUAUCUAGACUACACAUAGCAAUGUAAGUAGAUGGCAUCGCUGAAGGUACAAGCUUCCGUCCGACCGCACUAACGAAGGGAGAAAGGAAUAUAGAA